CAGUAGCGUAUUCUAAAGUUGCUGCAGUUAAAAAGCUCGUAGUUGUACUUCGGGCCGUCUUUUAGGGCGUGUUUUCUUCUCUCUUGCCCCAUCACUUUGUUGUUGGGGUGGAGAGAGCCGCCCCGGCCAUAAAACCUCGCGCGGCGUUUCGUGCUGGCAUUAAGUUGUCGGCGCGGCGUGUGCUGCGCGUCUUUUACUGUGAGAAAAGUAGAGUGCUUCAAGCAUUCCGAAAUCUUGUUUUUGUUGGAAACUGCAUAUUUCAGCAUGGGAUAAUGAGAUACGGCCGCCCGGUCCCUCUUUUACGAGGGGGAGCUUCUGUGUCAACUUGUUGGUUUGUUCCGGAUCGCGGCAAUGAUGAAUAGGGACAGUUGGGGGUGUUCGUACUCCGGCGUCAGAGGUGAAAUUCUUGGAUUGCCGGAAGACGCACGACUGCGAAGGCAUUCACCAAGGAUGUUUUCAUUAA
This 463-nucleotide ribosomal RNA is filed under the name uncultured eukaryote. RNAcentral describes it as "partial 18S ribosomal RNA". It matches the Rfam family "Eukaryotic small subunit ribosomal RNA", at positions 592 to 976 of the family's 1831-position model. The record is from RNAcentral.